RNAcentral lists this long non-coding RNA (1050 nucleotides) under Setaria italica (foxtail millet). Its description in RNAcentral is "long non-coding RNA (SITA_LNC001506)". Lineage: Eukaryota; Viridiplantae; Streptophyta; Magnoliopsida; Poales; Poaceae. The record is from RNAcentral.
ACGCGGUUGAAGCGGGGGAGGUUGGAGUGGAAGUAGACCCACACCGUGGCUUCCUCCAGUUCCGGGUGCCGGCUGAACAGGUCGCCGUCGCCGUGCACGAACGCCUUCAGAACCUGCAGCACACAGACACAGCAGAGAGUCUCAGCCGCCCACAUCCAUGAACACCACGUGAAAGCAGAGAAUUUUUUUUUUUUGAACGGGAAGGCAGAGAAUGCCUGAUCAAAUAUCUAGCGAGACAACGAUCGAGCCGUACUGACUAGUACUGAGCUAAUGUUCCCUUCCUGAAAUCUACCGCUAGUGCGCAUGAUUCACAAUUCAAUCGUGGCUCGUGGGCAAACGACGGGCAGCGACGAGACGACAAGACGCAAAGGAUGUCGAGCAGUGGUGCCGUAGCGAUCGACGUGGGGUCUCGCUAACCAGGCGGUUUCUUUGAAUUAUUGGCGAGCCAGGCAACCAGCCAAUGUGAAUUCGAGGAAUAAAAUAGAUGGGGGCACUGUGCUGUGUACUAUUCAGCAUGUGGUCCGUGUAUGUGGGCAGCAGGAGGACACGUACCACGGGGAGCUCCUUGCGGAAGAUGUAGUAGCGGAGGCCGGCGAUGAGGUCGAGCAGGAAGUGGCCGCCGGAGAUGUGGCAGUGGACGUGCAGCGACAUCCGGCCCCGCACCUUCUUCCACUCCGCCACCACCUCGUCCCGCUGCAGCCGGUUGUACCACCCCUGCAGCUGCGCGCGGUUGAUGGUGUGGGAGACGGCCAGCGUCAGGCUCGCCGUCACGUCGCUGUGGGUCAGCGUGUACGUCCGCGGCAGCAGCGGCAGCGGCGGCGGCUUGGUCCCCGGGUGCGCCGCGUGCUUGCCGCCGCUCUCCUCGUCCACGCCCAGGAACAGCACCUUCAGCUUCGACGCCUCGAAGAUCGCCGGACCGAACAGCCUCGCCGUCUACACGCAGACAGGAAACAGAGCAGCAGCCCCCUGCCGACUCAUCAGCUCAAAGACGCCCCAAAAAGAAAUUUCCUAUCAAGGGAGAUCGAUGGGAAUCGAGCAGAUCACGUACCG